ACGGGUGAGUAACACGUAUCCAACCUGCCGUCUACUCUUGGCCAGCCUUCUGAAGGAAGAUUAAUCCAGGAUGGCAUCAUGAGUUCACAUGUCCGCAUGAUUAAAGGUAUUUUCCGGUAGACGAUGGGGAUGCGCUCCAUUAGAUAGUAGGCGGGGUAACGGCCCACCUAGUCAACGAUGGAUAGGGGUUCUGAGAGGAAGGUCCCCCACAUUGGAACUGAGACACGGUCCAA
RNAcentral lists this ribosomal RNA (233 nucleotides) under uncultured bacterium. Its description in RNAcentral is "partial 16S ribosomal RNA". It matches the Rfam family "Bacterial small subunit ribosomal RNA", at positions 102 to 334 of the family's 1533-position model. The record is from RNAcentral.